GGACGAACGCUGGCGGCGUGCCUAACACAUGCAAGUCGAGCGGGGUUGAAGCGAGGGGUAACUCGGACUUCUACCUAGCGGCGGACGGGUGAGUAACGCGUGGGCAACCUGCCUCAAGGUUUGGGAUAACAGCUCGAAAGGGCUGCUAAUACCGGAUAUGCCUGUGGCCUCGCAUGGGGCUAUGAGCAAAGGGGAAACCCGCCUUGAGAUGGGCCCGCGUCCCAUCAGCUAGUUGGUGAGGUAAUGGCUUACCAAGGCGAUGAUAGGUAGGCGGCCUUAACGGGUGGUCGCCCACACUGGGAUUGAGAUACGGCCCAGACUCCUACGGGAGGCAGCAGUCGAGAAUAGUCUACAAUGGACGAAAGUCUGAUAGUGCGACGCCGCGUGAACGAAGAAUCCUUUCGGGGUGUAAAGUUCUUUUCUAUGUGAGCAGUUCCUUUUAUAUGAAGAGUAUAGAAGGGGGGAUUUAAGCAUAGGAAUAAGCAACGGCUAACUCCGUGCCAGCAGCCGCGGUAACACGGGGGUUGCAAGCGUUGUCCGGAAUUACUAGGCGUAAAGUGCAGGUAGGCGGAUAGAUAAGUUUAAGGUUAAAGGCUACGGCUUACCCGUAGUAAGGCGUUAGAUACUGUUUAUCUGGAAUGCGGUUGAGGAAGACAGAAUUCCUGGUGUAGCGGUGGAAUGCGCAGAGAUCAGGAGGAAUACCGAAGGCGAAGGCAGUCUUCUAAGCCGAAAUUGACGCUAAACUGCGAAGGUGUGGGGAUCAAACAGGAUUAGAUACCCUGGUAGUCCACACAGUAAACGAUAAUCACUAGGUGUUGGGUUCGUAUAGGACUCGGUGCCGGAGCUAACGCGAUAAGUGAUUCGCCUGGGGAGUACGAUCGCAAGGUUGAAACUCAAAGGAAUUGACGGGGGCCCGCACAAGCGGUGGAGCAUGUGGUUUAAUUCGACGCAACGCGAAGAACCUUACCCGGUCUUGACAUCUGCAGAAUUCUUCAGAGAUGGAGGAGUGCCGGCUUGCCGGAGCUGCAAGACAGGUGCUGCAUGGCUGUCGUCAGCUCGUGUCGUGAGAUGUUGGGUUAAGUCCCGCAACGAGCGCAACCCCUGCUUUCAGUUACCAUCAUUAAGUUGGGGACUCUGGAAGGACCGCUGUGGUAACAACGCAGAGGAAGAUGGGGACGAGGUCAAGUCAUCAUGGUCCUUAUGACCGGGGCUACACACGUGCUACAAUGGUAGUUACAGAGGGGAGCGAAGCAGAGAUGUGGAGCGAAUCUCAGAAAAGCUACCCAAGUUCGGAUUGAGGUCUGCAACUCGACCUCAUGAAGCCGGAAUCGCUAGUAAUCGCGCAACAUCAUGGUGCGGUGAAUGCGUUCCCGGGCCU
This 1378-nucleotide ribosomal RNA is filed under the name uncultured bacterium. RNAcentral's name for it is "bacterial SSU rRNA". It matches the Rfam family "Bacterial small subunit ribosomal RNA", at positions 27 to 1381 of the family's 1533-position model. The record is from RNAcentral.